This 496-nucleotide ribosomal RNA is filed under the name uncultured bacterium. RNAcentral's name for it is "partial 16S ribosomal RNA". It matches the Rfam family "Bacterial small subunit ribosomal RNA", at positions 28 to 507 of the family's 1533-position model. The record is from RNAcentral.
GAUGAACGCUGGCGGCGUGCCUAAUACAUGCAAGUAGAACGCUGAAGGAGUAGAUUGCUCUUUCUGGAUGAGUCGCGAACGGGUGAGUAACGCGUUGGUACGCUGCCUGGUAGUGGGGGAUGACUAUUGUAAACGAUAGCUAAUACCUAAUAACAGUAGACAUUGCAUGAUAUCUGCUUGAAAGGGGCAAUUGCUCCACUACCAGAUGGACCUGCGUUGUAUUAGCUAGUUGGGGAGGUAACGGCCCACCAAGGCGACGGUACAUAGGCGGCCUGAGAGGGUGGUCCGCCCAACUGGGAAUUGGACACGGCCCAGGAUCCCACGGGAGGCAGCAGGAGGGGAUCAUCGGACAUGGACGGAAGUCUGAACGCACAACGCCGGGUGAGUUAAGAAGGUUUUCGGAUCGUAAAGCUCUGUUGUAAGGGAAGAACGAGUGUGAGGGUAGAAAGUUCACACUGUGACGUUAUCUAAACAGAAAGGAACGGCUAACUACGUG